This 478-nucleotide ribosomal RNA is filed under the name uncultured bacterium. Its description in RNAcentral is "partial 16S ribosomal RNA". It matches the Rfam family "Bacterial small subunit ribosomal RNA", at positions 28 to 523 of the family's 1533-position model. The record is from RNAcentral.
GACGAACGCUGGCGGCGUGCUUAACACAUGCAAGUCGAACGGUAAGGCCCUUCGGGGUACACGAGUGGCGAACGGGUGAGUAACACGUGGGUGAUCUGCCCUGCACUUCGGGAUAAGCCUGGGAAACUGGGUCUAAUACCGGAUAGGACUCCUGGCUUCAUGGUUGGGGGUGGAAAGCUUUUGCGGUGUGGGAUGGGCCCGCGGCCUAUCAGCUUGUUGGUGGGGUAAUGGCCUACCAAGGCGACGACGGGUAGCUGGUCUGAGAGGAUGAUCAGCCACACUGGGACUGAGACACGGCCCAGACUCCUACGGGAGGCAGCAGUGGGGAAUAUUGCACAAUGGGCGAAAGCCUGAUGCAGCAACGCCGCGUGAGGGACGACGGCCUUCGGGUUGUAAACCUCUUUUAGUAGGGAAGAAGCGAAAGUGACGGUACCUGCAGAAAAAGCACCGGCUAACUACGUGCCAGCCGCCGCGGUAA